This 457-nucleotide ribosomal RNA is filed under the name uncultured bacterium. RNAcentral's name for it is "bacterial SSU rRNA". It matches the Rfam family "Bacterial small subunit ribosomal RNA", at positions 340 to 786 of the family's 1533-position model. The record is from RNAcentral.
UACGGAAGGCAGCAGGGGGAAUAUUGCACAAUGGGCGAAAGCCUGAUGCAGCUAUGCCGCGUGUAUGAAGAAGGCCUUAGGGUUGUAAAGUACUUUCAUCGGGGAGGAAAAAACAAAACUAAUAAUUUUAUUUCUUGACGUUACCCGAAAAAGAAGCACCGGCUAACUCCGUGCCAGCAGCCGCGGUAAUACGGAGGGUGCUAGCGUUAAUCAGAAUUACUGGGCGUAAAGAGCACGUAGGUGGUUUUUUAAGUCAGAUGUGAAAUCCCUGGGCUUAACCUAGGAACUGCAUUUUGAAACUGAAAUACUAGAGUAUCGUAGAGGGAGGUAGAAUUCUAGGUGUAGCGGUGAAAUGCGUAGAUAUCUGGAGGAAUACCUGUGGCGAAAGCGGCCUCCUAAACGAAUACUGACACUGAGGGUGCGAAAAGCGUGGGGAGCAAAACAGGGAUUAGAUACC